RNAcentral lists this ribosomal RNA (460 nucleotides) under uncultured bacterium. RNAcentral describes it as "partial 16S ribosomal RNA". It matches the Rfam family "Bacterial small subunit ribosomal RNA", at positions 338 to 795 of the family's 1533-position model. The record is from RNAcentral.
CCUACGGGUGGCAGCAGUGAGGAAUAUUGGUCAAUGGGCGAAAGUCUGAACCAGCCAAGCCGCGUGAGGGAUGACGGUUCUAUGAGUUGUAAACUGCUUUUGUAUUGGGGUAAACACCCGUACGUGUCCGGCCUUGCAUGUAUCUUACGAAUAAGGAUCGGCUAACUCCGUGCCAGCAGCCGCGGUAAUACGGAGGAUCCGAGCGUUAUCCGGAUUUAUUGGGUUUAAAGGGUGCGUAGGCGGGUUGAUAAGUUAGAGGUGAAAUACCGGUGCUCAACACCGGAACUGCCGCUAAUACUGGGGAACUAGAGAGUAGUUGCGGUAGGCGGAAUGUAUGGUGUAGCGGUGAAAUGCAUAGAGAUCACACAGAACACCGAUUGCGAAGGCAGCUUACCAAACCAUAACUGACGCUGAGGCACGAAAGCGUGGGUAGCAAACAGGAUUAGAUACCCGUGUAGUC